RNAcentral lists this ribosomal RNA (244 nucleotides) under Haynesina sp. S16. RNAcentral describes it as "partial small subunit ribosomal RNA". It matches the Rfam family "Eukaryotic small subunit ribosomal RNA", at positions 1520 to 1775 of the family's 1831-position model. The record is from RNAcentral. Lineage: Eukaryota; Foraminifera; Rotaliida; Nonionidae.
UUUUUGUGUGUGCAUUCGAUGCUCGUAUGUGCAAUUGUCAAUUCAUGGUGGGGACAGACCAUUGUUAAUUGUUGGUCUCGGUCUUAACUAGGAAUGCCUUGUACGGGUCUUUGGUUCAACAAACCACCCGGAAUACGUCCCUGCCCUUUGUACACACCGCCCGUCGCUCUUACCGAUGGACUUCUCUGUGAGUUUGAGGGACUGGAUUUUAUAUCUAUGGAAACUCAAACGAACAGUGUGUCUA